This 467-nucleotide ribosomal RNA is filed under the name uncultured bacterium. Its description in RNAcentral is "SSU rRNA". It matches the Rfam family "Bacterial small subunit ribosomal RNA", at positions 26 to 518 of the family's 1533-position model. The record is from RNAcentral.
AGGACGAACGCUGGCGGCGUGCUUAACACAUGCAAGUCGAGCGGAAAGGCCCUUCGGGGUACUCGAGCGGCGAACGGGUGAGUAACACGUGGGCAACCUGCCCUUAGCUCUGGGAUAGCUCCGGGAAACCGGAAUUAAUACCGGAUAUGACCUAGGCCGACAUCGGCCGUGGUGGAAAGUUUUUCGGCUAGGGAUGGACUCGCGGCCUAUCAGCUAGUUGGUGGGGUAAUGGCCUACCAAGGCUUCGACGGGUAGCUGGUCUGAGAGGACGAUCAGCCACACUGGGACUGAGACACGGCCCAGACUCCUACGGGAGGCAGCAGUAGGGAAUCUUGCGCAAUGGGCGAAAGCCUGACGCAGCAACGCCGCGUGAGGGAUGGAGGCCUUCGGGUUGUAAACCUCUUUCAGCAGGGACGAUUGUGACGGUACCUGCAGAAGACGCCCGGCAACUACGCGCCAGCAGCCGC